This 778-nucleotide ribosomal RNA is filed under the name uncultured soil archaeon. RNAcentral describes it as "bacterial SSU rRNA". It matches the Rfam family "Archaeal small subunit ribosomal RNA", at positions 77 to 843 of the family's 1478-position model. The record is from RNAcentral.
AACGGCGCACAGCUCAGUAGCACGUGGCUAACCUACCCUUCGGACGGAAAAAACCCGGGAAACUGGGGCUAAUGUCCGAUAGGUGAAGAUCCUGGAAUGGUUUUUUGCCUAAAUGACGUCUAGAGCAUGCUUCUAGGCGUUGCCGAAGGAUGGGGCCGCGGCCGAUCAGGUUGUUGGUGAGGUAACGGCUCACCAAGCCUUUAACCGGUGCGGGCCGUGGGAGCGGAAGCCCGGAGAUGGGCACUGAGACAAGGGCCCAGGCCCUACGGAGCGCAGCAGUCGCGAAAACUUCGCAAUAAGCGAAAGCUUGACGGGGCUAUCCCGAGUGCCAUCCGCUGAGGAUGGCUUUUCCCUAGUCUAGAUAGCUGGGGGAAUAAGGAGAGGGCAAGUCUGGUGUCAGCCGCCGCGGUAAUACCAGCUCUCCGAGUAGUGGGGAUGAUUAUUGGGCCUAAAGCAUCCGUAGCCGGCUGGGCAAGUCCCCUGUUAAACCCAGCGAUUUAAUCGUUGGUCUGCGGGGGAUACUGCUCGGCUAGGGGGCGAGAGAGGCCGUCGGUAUUCCCGGGGUAGGGGUGAAUCCUAUAAUCCCGGGAGGACCACCAGUGGCGAAGGCUGUCGGCUAGAACGCGCCCGACGGUGAGGGAUGAAAGCUGGGGGAGCGAACCGGAUUAGAUACCCGGGUAGUCCCAGCUGUAAACGAUGCAGGCUAGGUGUUAGGGCGGCCACGUGCCGCUCUAGUGCCGCAGGGAAGCUGUUAAGCCUGCCGCCUGGGGUACGGCCG